This 440-nucleotide ribosomal RNA is filed under the name uncultured bacterium. Its description in RNAcentral is "partial 16S ribosomal RNA". It matches the Rfam family "Bacterial small subunit ribosomal RNA", at positions 338 to 795 of the family's 1533-position model. The record is from RNAcentral.
CCUACGGGUGGCAGCAGUGGGGAAUAUUGCACAAUGGGGGAAACCCUGAUGCAGCGACGCCGCGUGAGUGAAGAAGUAUUUCGGUACGUAAAGCUCUAUUAGCAGGGAAGAAAAUGACGGUACCUGACUAAGAAGCCCCGGCUAACUACGUGCCAGCAGCCGCGGUAAUACGUAGGGGGCAAGCGUGAUCCGGAUUUACUGGGUGUAAAGGGAGCGUAGACGGCAGCGCAAGUCUGGAGUGAAAUGCCAGGGCUUAACCAUGGAACUGCUUGGGAAACUGUGCAGCUGGAGUGCAGGAGAGGUAAGCGGAAGUCGUGGUGUAGCGGUGAAAUGCGUAGAUAUUAGGAGGAACACCAGUGGCGAAGGCAGCUUGCUGGACUGGAACUGACGUUGAGGCUCGAAAGCGUGGGGAGCGAACAGGAUUAGAUACCCCUGUAGUC